RNAcentral lists this long non-coding RNA (691 nucleotides) under Bos mutus (wild yak). RNAcentral describes it as "lncRNA (ENSBMUG00000021517.1)". Lineage: Eukaryota; Metazoa; Chordata; Mammalia; Artiodactyla; Bovidae. The record is from RNAcentral.
CCCUGUUUGUGCUGGGACGCCUCCCUCUUCCCGCCCACGGCGACGCUGGCCUUGGGGCGCUGUUUCCGGGUCCUUCGGCAGGCCUGUUGAGACCCGCUGAGAGUGUGUUCACAUGUGUUUUAGGAUCAGAGGGCAUCCCGGCAUCUGUGGAAGUCUUCAUGCAGCUUCCCCCUGGAUCUGACCACGGAUUUUAUGAUGGCACGGAGUCCAGAGAAUCCUUGGAAAUGGAUUGCUCGUCUUUAAAACCAAAACACACACGUGCGGGUUAGCUCAGCACCCACAGCGGCCGGGGCCUCCCGAAACCUGACGUUCCAGAAGCCCGGGGCCCGUUGGCACAGAUAGAGGGCCUGGGCGCCGGGCCACGGUCGCCCUCAUCACCAAGAAGCUGCAAAGCCAGCGCCUGGACGACCUCGCCCACAAGAGCUACGAUGCCGGCCCAGUGAGCUGCCCACCCCGGCAUUCUGCCCAGAAACUCAGCAGAAGUGGCCACUCCUUCCCUUUUGAGACUAACAGUGAGUGUUUAAAAGCCCCGGCGGGUUUUCCGGGGCUGCUGGGGGCUGGGACCGUGGGCAGGGCCGGAAGGACACAGUCGCUGGCCCGGAGGCGAGGUCGCCCUCUGCUGGCCUUCCUCCCUGGGGCAGCGGCGUGGGUGGGGCCCGGGGCUGCCGCCCCACCUUCUGGAAGCUGCCUG